CCUUCGAUAGCUCAGUUGGUAGAGCGGAGGACUGUAGAUCCUUAGGUCGCUGGUUCGAAUCCGGCUCGACGAA
This 73-nucleotide transfer RNA is filed under the name Saccoglossus kowalevskii. RNAcentral describes it as "tRNA-Tyr". It matches the Rfam family "tRNA". Rfam says of the family: Transfer RNA (tRNA) molecules are approximately 80 nucleotides in length. Their secondary structure includes four short double-helical elements and three loops (D, anti-codon, and T loops). Lineage: Eukaryota; Metazoa; Hemichordata; Enteropneusta; Harrimaniidae. The record is from RNAcentral.